GGCUUAGUUUGAUCAUGGCUCAGGAUAAACGCUGGCGGCGCACAUAAGACAUGCAAGUCGAACGGACUUAACCAUUAGUUUACUAUUGGAGCGGUUAGUGGCGGACUGGUGAGUAACACGUAAGCAACCUGCCUGUUAGAGGGGAACAACAGUUAGAAAUGACUGCUAAUACCGCAUAUGCCUUAGUUAUCGCAUGAUAAUAGAGGGAAAGGAGCAAUCCGCUAACAGGUGGGCUUGCGUCUGAUUAGAUAGUUGGUGUGGUAACGGCAUACCAAGUCGACGAUCAGUAGCCGGACUGAGAGGUUGAACGGCCACAUUGGGACUGAGAUACGGCCCAGACUCCUACGGGAGGCAGCAGUCGGGAAUAUUGCGCAAUGGAGGAAACUCUGACGCAGUGACGCCGCGUGCAGGAAGAAGGUUUUCGGAUUGUAAACUGCUUUAGACAGGGAGGAAGAAGUGACAGUACCUGUAGAAUAAGCUCCGAAGC
Molecule: ribosomal RNA, 487 nt
Filed under: uncultured bacterium
Lineage: Bacteria
Description: bacterial SSU rRNA
Rfam family: Bacterial small subunit ribosomal RNA
Source: RNAcentral